RNAcentral lists this ribosomal RNA (247 nucleotides) under uncultured Actinomycetales bacterium. Its description in RNAcentral is "partial 16S ribosomal RNA". It matches the Rfam family "Bacterial small subunit ribosomal RNA", at positions 86 to 334 of the family's 1533-position model. The record is from RNAcentral. Lineage: Bacteria; Bacillati; Actinomycetota; Actinomycetes; Actinomycetales.
GGUGCUCGAGUGGCGAACGGGUGAGUAACACGUGAGUAACCUGCCCUCGACUUUGGGAUAACUUCAGGAAACUGGGGCUAAUACCGGAUAGGAGCUCCUGCUGCAUGGUGGGGGUUGGAAAGUUUCGGCGGUUGGGGAUGGACUCGCGGCUUAUCAGCUUGUUGGUGGGGUAGUGGCUUACCAAGGCUUUGACGGGUAGCCGGCCUGAGAGGGUGACCGGCCACAUUGGGACUGAGAUACGGCCCAG